Small nuclear RNA from Mesocricetus auratus (golden hamster), 108 nucleotides. NCBI's taxonomy places the organism in Eukaryota, Metazoa, Chordata, Mammalia, Rodentia, Cricetidae. The record is from Ensembl.
GUGUUUCCUUUUUGGCAGCACCUAUACUGAAAUUGGAAUGAUACAGAGUCAACUAGCCUGGCCCCGUGCAAGGAUGACACGCACAUCUGCUAAAUGUUCCACAUCUUU